Molecule: ribosomal RNA, 454 nt
Filed under: uncultured bacterium
Lineage: Bacteria
Description: bacterial SSU rRNA
Rfam family: Bacterial small subunit ribosomal RNA
Source: RNAcentral
UCGAGAAUCUUCGGCAAUGAGCGCAAGCUUGACCGAGCGACGCCGCGUGCGGGAUGAAGGCCUUCGGGUUGUAAACCGCUUUGGUCCGAAAGAAAGGGUAAAACUUGAUCGAUCGGAGAAACAAGGACGGGCUAAGUUCGUGCCAGCAGCCGCGGUAACACGAACCGGACAAACGUUAUUCGGAAUUACUGGGCGUAAAGGGCGCGUAGGCGGUGUGUCAAGUCAGUUGUGAAAUCUCCGAGCUUAACUCGGAACGGUCAACUGAUACUGUCACACUAGAGUACAGAAGGGGCAAUCGGAAUUCUUGGUGUAGCGGUGAAAUGCGUAGAUAUCAAGAGGAACACCUGAGGCGAAGGCGGGUUGCUGGGCUGAUACUGACGCUGAGGCGCGAAAGCUAGGGUAGCAAACGGGAUUAGAUACCCAGGUAGUCCCUGAGCGGGCUGGCAAGGCGCAU